UAGGUUCCUCCCAAUUCCUAUGGGAUCCUGA
Molecule: non-coding RNA, 31 nt
Filed under: Rattus norvegicus (Norway rat)
Lineage: Eukaryota; Metazoa; Chordata; Mammalia; Rodentia; Muridae
Source: RNAcentral